Molecule: ribosomal RNA, 462 nt
Filed under: Serratia marcescens
Lineage: Bacteria; Pseudomonadati; Pseudomonadota; Gammaproteobacteria; Enterobacterales; Yersiniaceae
Description: bacterial SSU rRNA
Rfam family: Bacterial small subunit ribosomal RNA
Source: RNAcentral
UACCAUGCAAGUCGAGCGGUAGCACAGGGGAGCUUGCUCCCUGGGUGACGAGCGGCGGACGGGUGAGUAAUGUCUGGGAAACUGCCUGAUGGAGGGGGAUAACUACUGGAAACGGUAGCUAAUACCGCAUAACGUCGCAAGACCAAAGAGGGGGACCUUCGGGCCUCUUGCCAUCAGAUGUGCCCAGAUGGGAUUAGCUAGUAGGUGGGGUAAUGGCUCACCUAGGCGACGAUCCCUAGCUGGUCUGAGAGGAUGACCAGCCACACUGGAACUGAGACACGGUCCAGACUCCUACGGGAGGCAGCAGUGGGGAAUAUUGCACAAUGGGCGCAAGCCUGAUGCAGCCAUGCCGCGUGUGUGAAGAAGGCCUUCGGGUUGUAAAGCACUUUCAGCGAGGAGGAAGGUGGUGAGCUUAAUACGCUCAUCAAUUGACGUUACUCGCAGAAGAAGCACCGGCUAACU